GAUGAACGCUAGCGGCAGGCUUAAUACAUGCAAGUCGAGGGGUAACAUGGUAGCAAUACUGAUGACGACCGGCAAACGGGUGCGGAACACGUACAGAACCUUCCUUUAAGCGGGGGAUAGCCCAUAGAAAUGUGGAUUAAUACCCCAUAGUAAUAUUGACUGGCAUCAGUUGGUAUUUAAAGAUUUAUCACUUAAAGAUGGCUGUGCGGCUGAUUAGGUAGUUGGUGGGGUAACGGCCCACCAAGCCUUCGAUCAGUAACUGGUGUGAGAGCACGACCAGUCACACGGGCACUGAGACAC
RNAcentral lists this ribosomal RNA (300 nucleotides) under uncultured bacterium. Its description in RNAcentral is "bacterial SSU rRNA". It matches the Rfam family "Bacterial small subunit ribosomal RNA", at positions 28 to 327 of the family's 1533-position model. The record is from RNAcentral.